This 1498-nucleotide ribosomal RNA is filed under the name Glomeraceae sp. 1 SL-2017. RNAcentral describes it as "eukaryotic LSU rRNA". The stretch from base 689 to 1498 matches the Rfam family "Eukaryotic large subunit ribosomal RNA", at positions 1 to 673 of the family's 3401-position model. The record is from RNAcentral. Lineage: Eukaryota; Fungi; Glomeromycota; Glomeromycetes; Glomerales; Glomeraceae.
CCUAGUAAGCACAAGUCAUCAGCUUGUGCUGAUUACGUCCCUGCCCUUUGUACACACCGCCCGUCGCUACUACCGAUUGAAUGGCUUAGUGAGGCCCUCGAAUCGGGUAUGGGGACUGGAAACAGAUCCCGUGUCUGAGAAGUUGGUCAAACUUGGUCAUUUAGAGGAAGUAAAAGUCGUAACAAGGUUUCCGUAGGUGAACCUGCGGAAGGAUCAUUACCAAUCUCUAGCGUGACCCUCACGUGGGGUCUCGCGAAACUCUGUAUUUAAAACCCAACUCGUUGAAAUUAUAAAAAAAAAUACAUAUGUAUAAGUAAAAAAAAAGAUCACUUUCAACAACGGAUCUCUUGGCUCUCGCAUCGAUGAAGAACGUAGCGAAGUGCGAUAAGUAGUGUGAAUUGCAGAAUUCCGUGAAUCAUCGAAUCUUUGAACGCAAAUUGCACUCCCUGGUAUUCCGGGGAGUAUGCCUGUUUGAGGGUCGGUUUACAUAAGAUCGAUGCGUUGCUUUUUCGCGAUGCGUCGGAAUUGGGUCAUCUUGAUCUCUCUCUGGGUUCAAGAGGCCUGAAAUUGACAUGCUUGCGCAUCUCUCAGACGUGUAAGACCUUACCUCGUCUCUUCUGGAUGCCAUGCCGUCAUUUACUGGGGUGGUCACGUUGCUGAGCUUACGCCCAUAAGAUAUUUCGAGUUUCGACCUCAAAUCAGGUAGGGAUACCCGCUGAACUUAAGCAUAUCAAUAAGCGGAGGAAAAGAAAAUAACCAUGAUUCCCCUAGUAACUGCGAGUGAAGAGGGAGAAGCUCAAAUUUUAAAUCUGUUAGGGUUCACCUGACCGAGUUGUAAUUUGAAGAAGCGUUUUCCGCGUGAUCGAUCAGUCCAAGUCCCUUGGAAUGGGGCAUCAUGGAGGGUGAGAAUCCCGUCCGGUUGAUCGUGAGCGCACUACGAUACGCUCUCAAAGAGUCAAGUUGUUUGGGAUUGCAGCUUAAAAUGGGAGGUAAAUUUCUCCUAAGGCUAAAUAUUGGUGAGAGACCGAUAGCGAACAAGUACCGUGAGGGAAAGAUGAAAAGCAUUUUGAAAAGAAAGUCAAAUAGCACGUGAAAUUGUUGAAAGGGAAACGAUUGAAGUCAGUCGUACCGAUGGGCACUCAGCCUCUCGGGCGGUGAUCGUGUCGGGUGUGGGAAGAUCUCACUCUGUUAUUGUUCCCGCCUCUGCAGUGUAAUUGUCCGUAUGGUAGGUUAACAUCAAUUUUGGUCAUCAUAAAAUGAUGGGAGGAAUGUAGCUUCCUUCGGGAAGUGUUAUAGCCUCUGGUAGAUGUGGUGACCGGGAUUGAGGAUUGCAACGAAUACCUUCGGGCUACCUGUCUGGUCUCUGAUCGUCGCCUUGGUGCUGAAAGCGUGCUUACGGUAUCAAAGUUUGAUGGUCAAAAGGCUAGCGCGGGUUACAUUCGUUAAGGAUGUUGACGUAAUGACUUUAAACGACCCGUCUUGAACACGGACCAAGGAG